Molecule: ribosomal RNA, 586 nt
Filed under: Escherichia coli
Lineage: Bacteria; Pseudomonadati; Pseudomonadota; Gammaproteobacteria; Enterobacterales; Enterobacteriaceae
Description: bacterial LSU rRNA
Rfam family: Bacterial large subunit ribosomal RNA
Source: RNAcentral
AAUGGGUCAGCGACUUAUAUUCUGUAGCAAGGUUAACCGAAUAGGGGAGCCGAAGGGAAACCGAGUCUUAACUGGGCGUUAAGUUGCAGGGUAUAGACCCGAAACCCGGUGAUCUAGCCAUGGGCAGGUUGAAGGUUGGGUAACACUAACUGGAGGACCGAACCGACUAAUGUUGAAAAAUUAGCGGAUGACUUGUGGCUGGGGGUGAAAGGCCAAUCAAACCGGGAGAUAGCUGGUUCUCCCCGAAAGCUAUUUAGGUAGCGCCUCGUGAAUUCAUCUCCGGGGGUAGAGCACUGUUUCGGCAAGGGGGUCAUCCCGACUUACCAACCCGAUGCAAACUGCGAAUACCGGAGAAUGUUAUCACGGGAGACACACGGCGGGUGCUAACGUCCGUCGUGAAGAGGGAAACAACCCAGACCGCCAGCUAAGGUCCCAAAGUCAUGGUUAAGUGGGAAACGAUGUGGGAAGGCCCAGACAGCCAGGAUGUUGGCUUAGAAGCAGCCAUCAUUUAAAGAAAGCGUAAUAGCUCACUGGUCGAGUCGGCCUGCGCGGAAGAUGUAACGGGGCUAAACCAUGCACCGAAGCU